Molecule: ribosomal RNA, 253 nt
Filed under: uncultured bacterium
Lineage: Bacteria
Description: partial 16S ribosomal RNA
Rfam family: Bacterial small subunit ribosomal RNA
Source: RNAcentral
UACAGAGGGUGCGAGCGUUAAUCGGAAUUACUGGGCGUAAAGCGUGCGUAGACGGUAGCGUAAGUCAGAUGUGAAAGCCCCGGGCUCAACCUGGGAAUUGCAUUUGAGACUGCUCUGCUCGGGUGCGGAAGAGGGAAGCGGAAUUUCCGGUGUAGCGGUGGAAUGCGUAGAGAUCCGGAAGAACACCGGUGGCGAAGGCGGCCUGCUGGGCAGUAGCUGACGCUGAGGCGCGACAGCGUGGGGAGCAAACAGG